CAGAGUGAGCGGUGGGGCGUGAGGAGAAGAAGGAGAGUGGUUGAAGAAAAGAAGAAGAAGAGGGAAAAGAAGAGAGGAGGAAGAAGAGAGGAAGAAGAGGGAGAAGAGAAGAAGAAGAAGAAGAGGAGGUGGCUGCAGCGAGGGCUGCAGCGAGGGCUGCAGCGAGGAGCUGUGGGGCGUGGGGAGAAGAAGAGAGGAAGAAGAGGGAGAAGAGAAGAAGAAGAAGAAGAAGAAGAAGAAGAAGAGAGGAGGAUAGCUGCAGCAAGGCUGCAGCGAGGAGGUGUGUGGGGUUGGGGAGGAAAAGGGAAGAGGAGAAGAAAAGAAGGAGAAGAAGAGGGAAAAGAGAGGGAAGAAGGAGAGGAAGAUGAGCAGCGGAAGAGGUUGUGAUACCUCUGUUUCCUGCAGAGGAAACAGAGGAGAGGGUGUGUGUGACGUCGGGGAGAAGAAGGGGAGGAAGGAGAAGAAGAGAAGAAGAAGAAAGGAAGGAUAAGGAAGAAGAGAAGGGAAAGGAGGAGCUGCGGCUGCGGCGGUGGCAGCUGCAGCUGGAAGAGAAGGAGAGGAAGAGAUGGUGAGGAAGAAGAGAAGAAGUAGAAGCGGGUGAAGAGGCGGCACCUCUGUUUCCUGCAGGAGGAAACAGAGGAAAGGUGGUGCUAUACGUCGGGGGGAAGAAGGGGAGGAAGGAGAAGAAGAGAAGAAGAAGAAAGGAAGGAAAAGGAAGAGGAGAAGGGAAGGAAGUAGCUGCGGCUGCGGUUGUGGCAGCUGCAGCUGUGGCAGGGAAAGAAAAAGAGAAAGGAAGAAGGGAAGGAGAGGAAGAAGAGAAGGGGCUGCGGCUGCUGCAGUUGGAAGAGAAGAAGGAGAGGAAGAUGAGCAGGGGAGGAAGAAAAGGCUGUGGCCGUGGCUGAGGCUGCGACUGCAGCAUGCAGCUGGGAAAGAAGAGAAGGAAAGGAAGAAGAAGAGAAAGGAAGAAGGGAAGGAGAGGAAGAAGAGAAGGGGCUGCGGCUGCGGCGAUGGCAGCUGCAGUUGGAAGAGAAGAAGGAGAGGAAGAUGAGCAGGGGAGGAAGAAGAGGCUGCGAGUGUGGUGGCUGCGGCCGUGGCUGCGACUCCGGCUGCGGCUGCAACGUUGGCUGCGGUAGCUGCGGCAGCGGUGGUGGCUGCAGUAGCUGCAGUAGCUGCUUUUGGGAAAGAGAAAGAGUAGGAACGAGAGAAGGGAAGAAGGAAAUAGUGCAGUGGAAGGGGGCUGCGGUUGUGACCGCAGUUGCGGUCGUGGCUGCGAUUGUGGCAGCGGCAACGGCGACGGCUGUGGCAGCUGCAUUUGGGAAAGAAAAACAAGGAAUGAGAGUAAGAGAGAGCAGGUGACUGUGCCUCGAUGUUCGACACGUGAUGUAGUUACGAAGAAAGGAAGAAAACGGGAGCACAAAACGAAACAGAGAGAGCACACGGAGGAAAAGUAGAAAGAUUGGACUGGCACCUUCCUUGGAUAUUCAGAUCAAAAUAUUUGAAAGGUCAGCUUGUCACUCUUCGAGAUGUUUGAUUUGGGGCUGAGGCAGUGGAUAGCUAUUCAGAAUUAUGGGCAAGUCUUGUCGGUUAUUAUGCUAUUGUUGUAUAAGCAUGUUUUGUAUGUAAUGAAAUGUUGUCGAUGAAUCGAAAUGGAUAUACUGUGUAAAAGUGUUAGAAGAUCUCUCUUAUUUGGAAUUUCGGAAUGUUAAGUCUAAUUUAUGACGUUAUGAACUUGUGGUGAAUAGUUGGAGUUCUGAUUGUAUAAUUUAUUUAGCUUGUGGAUUUAUAAAUGUUGUUCAUGUUUGUCAA
This is a long non-coding RNA of Musa acuminata AAA Group (dessert banana), 1806 nucleotides long. RefSeq lists it as uncharacterized. Lineage: Eukaryota; Viridiplantae; Streptophyta; Magnoliopsida; Zingiberales; Musaceae. The record is from RefSeq and is a predicted model, not a curated record. The transcript is spliced from 2 exons.